Long non-coding RNA from Rhodamnia argentea, 409 nucleotides. RefSeq lists it as uncharacterized. Lineage: Eukaryota; Viridiplantae; Streptophyta; Magnoliopsida; Myrtales; Myrtaceae. The transcript is spliced from 3 exons. The record is from RefSeq and is a predicted model, not a curated record.
UCAAGUGGGUUAGACGACACGUUCAUGAGUUGCCAUCCAGCUAACAAUUAAAGAUGCAAUGCACGUUCUUACACCAACAUGUCGGCGAGCCCGCAAUGUCGUCGCACUAAAUGUAUAAACACUGCUCCUCAUCUUAUUUGGUACAGGUUUAUUUACUUCCAAUGAAAAUUCUCGAUAAACAAUGGUUGCUGAGGCUGUCUUUAUCAUUCUGAUAUUUUCAGACCUCUCGUUAGUGAAUCUAAUUUAUGUGGAGCAGAGAUCUAUAUUUAUGUGUGAAAUGUUCAGUCAACCUUUUCAACGAAUAACACCAGAAACUUGCCAUCGAUCCAUGAACAAGAGAAAAAGGCAAAAAUUAGGUGAGCCAUGAAAAAAGUUAAAAAAAAAAAAAAGCGAAAAAAGAUAUACCAAA